ACUUUUAUUUUCUCAUUUUGUUCUGGAUAUGAUGCAUGCUGGUUAAUUGUAUUUAUGUAUUUACAUAUUUUAUAAAGAUCAUUGAGUCAUUGCCUCGUUUGUUUGAACUUUGAACCAUAUUAUUUUAGUUUGUGCUUUCAUUCUAUUGUAGAUUGUGUGUAUCUGGGUCUGGUUUUUCUGACCAAUUUGAGUGUUGUUGAUUUGUCUGGAUUUUUUUUUGUACAUAUAUUUUUUUUUCUUUUCAUUGGGUGAUAUCAAAUAAAAGAUAGCUUGUGAUUUUAUUUUAUUGUUCAUCGGGGUGUAUCAUGGGAUCCGUUUAUUUCAAUUUUUUUUGUUUUUCUGAUGCAUUCUUUCUGCCUGACCAUUCAAGUGACGAAAAUAGCAUUUAUAAUUUAUUCCAUUGUUUGAAGAAGUUUAAAUAUAUUUUCGUAAAUUGGUAAGCAAUGAAUAAAUUUUGCAACUUCAGAAAGUAGACCAAUGUUAUUUAGAUUAUAUAUAUAUUCAUAUAAAUGGGGUGAUAGUCUAUGAAACCAGAGCUCACUGUGCAAGCUGAGCCGAUCAUGGGCCCUUAUGGCCCUUCUAUAGUUGAUGAAAAUUUGGAAGCUACAGUGGUCACGUUAGUUUUGGAUUAACUUCAUUUUUGGGACAUUUCAUUGAAAUUUAUACAUGAUGAUAAGUAUUAUGAUUUGGCCAUUAAACUAGUUUUUCAAGUUGAUUAGUUGAAUUUUGUUUGAUUAAUGAACCAGAAGAAGAAAAGUUUGACUGAUUUUGGUUAUGGCAGUAAGGACACUUUACCAGGUGGAGUUUCAGUCAAUAAAAAGAGAGUUGAAAAAGGGCUUUCACAACUAAAGCUUAAAACAAUGGCCAUGAGUACUUAUCCCCAAAAAAAUCAGAGCUCUAUCUCGCCGCUCUCCUAACUCCACUACUCUCUCCAUCUUGCUGUCAUCUCUUCGUUUUUUGAGGUACUCUUGCUCGUCUUUGGUGUGCGUGGCGUCGUCUCCGGUGGUGGUUGUUCUCUCUUCCUGUUAAAGGUUUGGCUGUUCUUGGACUUGGUGUUACAAAUAGCAUUUUUUUAUACUAUGUACAUUUGCUUUUGUUGAUUUGUUUAUACUAUCUAAUAUUUUACAAAUUUUUAGUCACGUACUCUAUUAGAAUAUAUAAAGCUGCUAAUGUUUCCAUUUGCACCAGUGUGGAGGUUAUGCAACUAUUGAAAUUGGUUUUGCAGCUUUUGAAUUUCAAAGCAGGGAUGAUUAGUUUUAUCUAUUUAAAAUAGUAUAGAUUUGUUAAGGAUUAAUAUAUAUGUAAUCACUGUAACUUUGUGAUUUGGAGAGGGCUGUACAAGGGUCUUGUUAUUAGAACUUGAGAAUUUCUUAUUUUGAUGUUCUUUACAUUUUAGUCAAAUUUGCUUUACUUGAUAGGAAACAUUGGGGGGAACUAUGGUAUAUGAGUGGUUGAAAUGACCAUGGCAAUAAUAUUUUUUACUAUGUAAGUUGGGCAUUUGGUUUUGUACAUAAUAAAACAG
Long non-coding RNA from Humulus lupulus (European hop), 1522 nucleotides. RefSeq lists it as uncharacterized. Lineage: Eukaryota; Viridiplantae; Streptophyta; Magnoliopsida; Rosales; Cannabaceae. The record is from RefSeq and is a predicted model, not a curated record. The transcript is spliced from 2 exons.